GGCCUGAUAGCACAACGGUUAGUGCGGCUGUUCUAACUGGAACUGUUCUAAAUCUUCCAGCAGAAGAUUCCUGUUCGACUCGGGGUCAGGCUG
Molecule: non-coding RNA, 93 nt
Organism: Mycena rosella
Lineage: Eukaryota; Fungi; Basidiomycota; Agaricomycetes; Agaricales; Mycenaceae
Source: the annotation of a GenBank genome assembly